Molecule: ribosomal RNA, 457 nt
Filed under: Streptococcus sp. oral taxon 074
Lineage: Bacteria; Bacillati; Bacillota; Bacilli; Lactobacillales; Streptococcaceae
Description: bacterial SSU rRNA
Rfam family: Bacterial small subunit ribosomal RNA
Source: RNAcentral
GAUGAACGCUGGCGGCGUGCCUAAUACAUGCAAGUAGAACGCUGAAGCUUGGUGCUUGCACCGAGCGGAUGAGUUGCGAACGGGUGAGUAACGCGUAGGUAACCUGCCUGGUAGCGGGGGAUAACUAUUGGAAACGAUAGCUAAUACCGCAUGACAACAGUUAUUGCAUGAUAACUGUUUAAAAGGGGCAAUUGCUCCACUACCAGAUGGACCUGCGUUGUAUUAGCUAGUUGGUGAGGUAACGGCUCACCAAGGCGACGAUACAUAGCCGACCUGAGAGGGUGAUCGGCCACACUGGGACUGAGACACGGCCCAGACUCCUACGGGAGGCAGCAGUAGGGAAUCUUCGGCAAUGGACGGAAGUCUGACCGAGCAACGCCGCGUGAGUGAAGAAGGUUUUCGGAUCGUAAAGCUCUGUUGUAAGAGAAGAACGAGUGUGAGAGUGGAAAGUUCACAC